UAACGCGUGAGGAACCUGCCUCAAAGAGGGGGACAACAGUUGGAAACGACUGCUAAUACCGCAUAAGCCCACGGCUCGGCAUCGAGCAGAGGGAAAAGGAGUGAUCCGCUUUGAGAUGGCCUCGCGUCCGAUUAGCUAGUUGGUGAGGUAAUGGCCCACCAAGGCGACGAUCGGUAGCCGGACUGAGAGGUUGAACGGCCACAUUGGGACUGAGACACGGCCCAGACUCCUACGGGAGGCAGCAGUGGGGAAUAUUGCACAAUGGGGGAAACCCUGAUGCAGCGACGCCGCGUGGAGGAAGAAGGUCUUCGGAUUGUAAACUCCUGUUGUUGAGGAAGAUAAUGACGGUACUCAACAAGGAAGUGACGGCUAGCUACGUGCCAGCAGCCGCGGUAAAACGUAGGUCACAAGCGUUGUCCGGAAUUACUGGGUGUAAAGGGAGCGCAGGCGGGAGAACAAGUUGGAAGUGAAAUCCAUGGGCUCAACCCAUGAACUGCUUUCAAAACUGUUUUUCUUGAGUAGUGCAGAGGUAGGCGGAAUUCCCGGUGUAGCGGUGGAAUGCGUAGAUAUCGGGAGGAACACCAGUGGCGAAGGCGGCCUACUGGGCACCAACUGACGCUGAGGCUCGAAAGUGUGGGUAGCAAACAGGAUUAGAUACCCUGGUAGUCCACACCGUAAACGAUGAUUACUAGGUGU
This 696-nucleotide ribosomal RNA is filed under the name uncultured bacterium. Its description in RNAcentral is "bacterial SSU rRNA". It matches the Rfam family "Bacterial small subunit ribosomal RNA", at positions 111 to 823 of the family's 1533-position model. The record is from RNAcentral.